Molecule: ribosomal RNA, 263 nt
Filed under: uncultured archaeon
Lineage: Archaea
Description: partial 16S ribosomal RNA
Rfam family: Archaeal small subunit ribosomal RNA
Source: RNAcentral
CAGCCCUAAACGAUGCGCGUUAGGUGUAUCGGUGACCACGAGUCACCGAGGUGCCGAAGGGAAACCGUGAAACGUGCCGCCUGGGAAGUACGGUCGCAAGGCUGAAACUUAAAGGAAUUGGCGGGGGGAGCACCACAACGGGUGGAGCCUGCGGUUUAAUUGGACUCAACGCCGGGAAGCUUACCGGAUAAGACAGCGGAAUGAUUGCCGGGCUGAAGACCCUGCAUGACCAGCUGAGAGGUGGUGCAUGGCGUCAGUUGACU